This 425-nucleotide ribosomal RNA is filed under the name uncultured bacterium. RNAcentral's name for it is "partial 16S ribosomal RNA". It matches the Rfam family "Bacterial small subunit ribosomal RNA", at positions 354 to 796 of the family's 1533-position model. The record is from RNAcentral.
GUUGGGAAUAUUGCACAAUGGGCGAAAGCCUGAUGCAGCGACGCCGCGUGAGCGAUGAAGUAUUUCGGUACGUAAAGCUCUAUCAGCAGGGAAGAUAAUGACGGUACCUGACUAAGAAGCACCGGCUAAAUACGUGCCAGCAGCCGCGGUAAUACGUAGGUGGCGAGCGUUAUCCGGAUUUAUUGGGUGUAAAGGGCGUGUAGGCGGGACAGAAAGUCAGAUGUGAAAAACAGAGGCUCAACCUCUGUCCUGCAUUUGAAACUGUUGUUCUUGAGUGUCGGAGAGGUAAUCGGAAUUCCGUGUGUAGCGGUGAAAUGCGUAGAUAUACGGAGGAACACCAGUGGCGAAGGCGGAUUACUGGACGAUAACUGACGCUGAGGCGCGAAAGCGUGGGGAGCAAACAGGAUUAGAUACCCCAGUAGUCC